RNAcentral lists this ribosomal RNA (255 nucleotides) under uncultured bacterium. RNAcentral's name for it is "partial 16S ribosomal RNA". It matches the Rfam family "Bacterial small subunit ribosomal RNA", at positions 524 to 776 of the family's 1533-position model. The record is from RNAcentral.
UACGUAGGGCGCAAGCGUUAUCCGGAAUUAUUGGGCGUAAAGAGCUCGUAGGCGGUUUGUCGCGUCUGCUGUGAAAACCCGAGGCUCAACCUCGGGCCUGCAGUGGGUACGGGGCAGACUAGAGUGCGGGUAGGGGAGAUUGGAAUUCCUGGGUGUAGCGGUGGAAUGCGCAGAUAUCAGGAGGAACACCAAUGGCGAAGGCAGAUCUCUGGGCCGUAACUGACGCUGAGGAGCGAAAGCAUGGGAGCGAACAGG